GGCAACGCCGCUCCCGCCGGGCCGGGCCGCGCCGCGCCGCUCCCACCGGCCGCCCUUACCUGCGCCGGCCUCACAUCGCCGCGCUGGGGCCAGCGCUGAUCCCCCCAGCGCCACCGCGGCCCCCCGCCCUCGGCAGCCGGCCGCCGUCUCCCCGCCGCCCGCGGGGCCGCAGGUCACUCCUUAACUUUGCAUGCGUGAGCUCUCCUACUUUGUAUUUCCUUUCCGCCUCACGCCGGGCAGCCGGCGUUUGAAGAAAAAGCGCCGGGUGCCGGGAGAAUCGUUCUGGCAACACGUGGCGGGGCUUUGCGCCUGCAGCAGCACACCUCAGAGAGCCCGAGUUUACAUCUGAGAUCGUCAAAUAAAAGCAAGUUAAUUAAACGCCUGGAUUCAGAAGAAAUUGAGCACGAUGUGGGUAGAAAAACUGUAGGUUGUGUUAAAAAUCGGAAUCCACAGCUAUCAUUCUCAAACACCCUGUCCCUCCUAGGUACACAGGUAAAUAUCCUGAGGAGCCAUACCUACAUUAAAGCUCUCUCUGGUUGCUGUGAUUAGCAAUGUACUGAAAGAGGACAGCAUAUCUGUUCUGGUCUGCCAGCUCGACUGUAGCAAUAGGGGCAGACAGUCUGUAGGGAGACUUCCCCCAUGUAGGAGAGUAGAACAGAACCAGGCAGAGAAAAGGCAUACAUAAAGGAAAAGAAGAAAGGAAGGAUGUCUAGAUUCAAGACACCAUGUGUUUGGGAGUAGCAGGGCUAAGGGAAACCCUGGACACAUUGAUUAUCGUGAUCAUAAAAGAGGGGGCAAAUUCCAAAAUUUGGAACUUCUAGUUCAAUAGCAAAAUAGGGUAGGUUGCUUGGUUCUCCGCUGCCCCAGUUUUAUUAUUUGUGGCAUAGGUGCCUGGAUUUGCUUAAAGAAGUACAGCAUUUGUGUGAGGAUGCACUUCACUGCAGUGUAGAUCUUUACUUACAAAUAAUGCAACGUGAGCAAAUAAUUAAGCUAGACAGAUGACUGAGGAAGGAAUUACCUAUAUUAUAUUUUCUGUCUCCUCAAAUCGAUAUGCAGUGCCAUCUCUUUGAUGAGUGCUUUUUUUUCCUCAUAAUUUUAUGAGUGUUUGCAGGUGUCUGUCCUCCAGGACGUGCUCUGAGGAGUUCAGCAAAAGAGAAGAGGGAGCUUGACCCAUCCACUGGAGGAGUGCUGUAGCCCACACCCAGGCAGUCCUCAACCCUCCUUUCCCUGCAUGACCCAUGUGGGGUCUCCCAGGCAGGGAAACUCUCACCAGAAGCAGCACACUGAAAGUUCUAACCAGCCACUGUCAAAAUCAUACUGAUGCUCGCUACUGCCUCCUGAUUCAGUUAAUUCUUCCAUUUGUGUGGAUGAAUUGUUUCAUCAUAGUGGAUCAGCUUCUGCAGUUGAGAUUCUUGUUCCACAUCACUGUGUUACAGUCAUGGAGAGGCUUCAAAUUCCCACAAGCCAAGAGACUGAGGAUAUCAGCUCUGGAUCACAUCUCUCUUGGGUUGCUGCUCAGACCUCUGAGAUGUUACAUAAAUAGGCGAUGCCUCUUCCUGCUGCAUUUUUAAAGUUCCGAGCAGUUGGCAGUGGGCUGGAGCUGGGCAUCGUGACUGGAAAAUGGCACUUCUGUCAUCCAGAAAAGGUCAACUUAUUGUCUAAGACAGGCUUAACCUUUACCCCUCUCCUUGUCACCUCCAGCAACUGCAGAGGCAAGUUUUUAUUUGCUUUUCUGAAUCAUAUCCUGAGGUACCUUGCUUUUCCCUGCCCACUGCACAAAGAGUUUGAGUGCCAAACUUUUCUUCAUACAUUACACAGAGUGAAUAAGUGCUUGAAGUCAUAAUGUGCAGCUCUUGGUAUCACACUAUCUGUAUCCACCUGUGGGCCAAGCUCUCCUUCCCUAACUUGAUGAGAACUGAACUCCUAACUUCUGUGUGGACCCAUGCAAAAUUACUGCAAUGCCAAUAAGGUGGUACUUCUGCCAGUGGCAUGGAGGGAAGAUCAAUGAAGAACAGGCGUGCUAUAGAAUUGCUGAUGCUGGCUGGCAUUUCAGGAGAUCACCUAGCCUACUCCCUGGCUUCGAGCAGGCUCAGCGGGAGCAGGCUGCCCAGGACUGUGUCCAGUUGGGUUUUUAAUAUCUUUGCAGAUGGAGACUCCACAGUCUCUCUGGGCUGCCUGUGCCAGUUUAACCUCCCUUACAGUAGCGUAGAUGUUUAGAACAUCUGCACAUCUGGAGGGCUGCACAGUGUGCAGAACAGGUCCUAUUCUAUGCUGGGAGUACUUCCCCAUCUCCUUUAGGAAGAUGAGCUACAGUGAGUCAAUAUUUUUCUCACCAGUAGGUCCCACAGCGCAGGAGUCCUCUCCCAGCAGGAUGAAAGUUGAGAGCCAGCAUUAGUGGCAAGCAGGACAGAGAGCAGCACAGAGGUAUCCCAGGUGGAUUGGGCUGCAUGAUCUAUCGCAGCCCACCAAAUGCUGGGCUCCACCAACUGAGUGCCUGGUAUGUCCCUAUCCCCCUCCAUGGAAAGGCUCAUCCUCCAAAGAGGCCCAGCAGUGCAAAGAACAGGGUCCUUAUGUACCCUGAUGUGCUCCUGCUUCCUGCAGUGCCCUGUGCUGUCUGAGCACACUGGAUCUCGGCAGGCUGAGGCAAUUCAGACACCAGCCUCCCACUCACCCUUUCUUUUCCUGUGUAGGCAUCCUCCUCAUGAACAUCCCAUCUAGCUGGAGUCCUCUGUUGUCCUCACCACUCCAUAGCAGACAUUAUUCUGAGUUUAACUUCUACAAUAUACAAAGCACAGAGUUGUAAAUGCAAAAAGCCAGGUAGACAGUAGGACAGAACCUGGCAGUUUUAGUAACUCUUAGUUAAGCUGCUAUCAUGUCAGAAGUGCCAUGGGGGGUCUAAGGGUCUUCAUAAAUUUAACUAAAGUCAUCUGGUGAGCCCUCACUCCUCGGAAAACCAAAUAACUUCUCUGGGAGUGUUUAGCAGCUAUACCAUCCUCCAAGCAGAUGCAAACUUGUGUAUAUGCAAGAAAACUCUCCUAAGAAUGGGAAGAAACAGAACUCUGAGACUGGAAACUGAACCAAAGUAAGUUUAUACAAGCAGCAAGUAAAACACCCAUUCCCUGUGAGUCAGUCCUGGCUGUUUCCUUCAUUUCCUCCAAGGCUUGCUGUGAACAUCCAGUGGUAACAGUCCUGAAAUUCAGUAAUUUCUUUUCCUACCCCUUAUUUAUAGCUUGGUGUCAGCAGUUAGCAGAGUCCCAGCAUCAUUGUGGAUGAAAAGCUGGACAGCAGUGGACACUGUGCCCUUGCAGCCCAGAAAGCCAACCAUAUCCUGGGCUGUAUCGAAAGAAGUGUGACCGGCAGGUCGAGGGAGGUGAUUCUGUCCCUCUACUCUGCUGUAGUGAACUCCUACUGUUGUCUGGCAGAGUUGCUACUUACCCCAGGAAUUCAAUAGAUUAUGGACUUCACAUAGACAAGUACUGGUUUUUGGGAUCUUUCCUGAAAUUCGCUCCAGCAUACGUCCAGGAAUAGAUGCCCAUGCCAGAAAGGAUUAGGAAAAUACAGAACUGGAAAUGUCCUUCAGGUAAUAAGGCUAGAAAUGCUUUCCUUUGUGAAACCAGUUAUAAAACCACAUUGCGGACAUGAUCUGAAUUAAUAAUAAAAGUCCUAAGACAAUAACCCGUAUUGUCAAAGAGCAUGUCCAUCCUGAGAAGAGCAGAGUUACAGACUGACAUGAUCUUCCCUCAGUUCAUUGUCACAUGCUUUCUCUCCUGAGAAUCUCAACUAGUCUACAGCCAAGAAGUGACUGAGACACAAUACUGUGUUUGCUUUUACAGAAUAAAACCAUAAGCAAAUUAUCUGAUAUUAGGUAUCCUUAUAAUCCUUACUCAACCUCAUCCUUUUUUUUUUCUCUUAUACAAGAAGCAGUAAGGACUCUUUGCCCAAAUGGAGAGCUACAUAUGUGCCAUGGAGUGAUAGUUUUAUGUCAUUAUGAACCAUGUACCAGUCAGUAUGAAGGUCUGCAUUGGCAGGAUGGAUUAAGAAUGAAUGGCCCAUGUAGUGUGUUGUACAAAUUUCUUCCAAAAUAAUAGCAGUGGUCUUGCCUGAUGUGCAAAUUGGGCCAUUGUCCUAAAAGGGUUGCUUGCUAAACCCCACUUCCUGAGAGGUGCUGCCAAGAAAAUUUAAACAGAUGGACAAGACUUCAGACAGACAGUCAGAUACAAAGGCUGGUGUUAAAGGCGCAAGGGUAAGGGCUUGUCUGGAGAGUCCCUGGCCUGCCAGCCACAUAAAGUAGCAAAAGCAUAUUUUUGUUUGCAUACAUCCAUUUAGCCUGACAUUGCCCAACAAUUCACUUGAUUAUAAGCUACUGCAUGUUUUAAAAGGCAAGAAAGUGGUUCUUACUUUGUGGAUGUGUGCCUGGCAGACACUGAUGGGCUUUCCCGGUUACAAUCACUGCUGCAGCUCUUUCACUGCAGUCUGGACUGAUGUCAAGGAAAAUGACUGCUCAUGCCAGGGCUUCAGAAAUGUGCGGCUUCAUACAUGCAAAUGCUGUUUUCCUUGACCUUUCCUGAUUUUGGUUGAAAGGCCAGUCUCCAAUAGCAAAAGCAAAAGUGUUAAUUCCUCAUAAGCUAGAAUAAGCAACAUUGGUCUUACUAUCUAGAAAUACCACAAACAAAUUUUGAAAAAUCUUAAUGAAAGCUGGUUAUGCAAACAUUUCCAAACAGCUGUUCUUUUACACCAAAUGACAUAGGCAAUUUCCAUCUCAGUUACAAUUUUAAGGAAAUCUUUGGGUUUAUGCCUUCUCCCCACUGCGAUGCUGCAUACAAAGGAUACUCCAGUUAUUCCUUGUUGCUGGCAAGUGCCUCUCACAGACUGAAAUCAUCCAUUGCAGCUUCCAGGGAGGCUUAAGAAGGCAGCUCUUGGUUUCCUGCAGUGGUCUCAGUUUCUGUGUUUGUGACUCUGAACGCUGCAAGAAGAAUGCAAAAAGCUAUUUUUUUCCCCAGUUCCUUUGAUGACCUCAGAUACAUGUGGCCUUCAGAGAUCUGUGAGAACAGCUGAGAACAUUGUGGGCUGCAGCACAGGGGAGCAGCAGCUUCCUGAGGAUAUUGCAAAGUCUGGUCCGGGCAGUGAGGCUGCUGCAAUGCCUCAGCAGCUGUCUGACUGGGAUCCAGUUCUUAAGAGCCUUGUCUUGAGUAGUGCUUCCUGUAAAUUGGAGACUAAUUUGCUAACAGCUUUGCUCUUAUGCGCUCUUUUACUUCUGGGGCUCCAUCCAGAGCUCAGGCUACGUGGCUGUAAUUCACAGCCUCGAUACUCUAUAGGUAGCAUUUCCUCUCUAUACUCCUGCAAUGCUCUUGAUCCUAUAGACCAGGUCUGUCAAACUCAUUUUCACCAGGGGCCACAUAAGCCUUGCAGUUGCCUUCAAAAGGCUGAAUUUAAUUUUAGGACUGUAUAAAUGUAACUACUCCUACAUUUAGGUGAAAAUGAGUUCAACACCCCUGCUAUAGACUUUUAAGGACUGAAUUCUCUCUGCAGACUGCUGAAUGGAUGGCUUGUGAACUUGGCCUCUUGGGAUGGAGGAACUCAGUGGAGAUCAGCAUUAACAAAGAGGCAAAUGGGAAUUUGCCAUUGUCAUAUCCAGCCAUCCUUCCUGCAUGGUGGCAGCAGAGGGGCGUGGAGGGCAUUUGUGCAGAAGAUAACUGCUUGAAUUAGAUGCAGCUAAAUGCUUGUGCAAGCCUAAACUGGAGUCCUAAUGCUGUGUAUUGGUGCAGUAAACUGUUUCCCAGCCCACUCCAUAAAUACAUUUCUCUCUUUCACAUACAAAUGCAGACAGCUGCUGGAUUGGAGUCUCUAACAGCCUUGCCCUUUACCUCGACCUCACACACUGAUGUUUCCUCUUCUUCCUUAGGAGUGAGAAAAUGCUAAAGCAGAGAAGAUCAGUGACAAUGGCUACUUUCUCCUUUUCUUGUCCCCCAUCAUCCUUUGAGAAGGCCAGGAGAAGGCUACUGGGACUCUUCCACUUCAUUUGCAAAGCCAAGAAAUUAAGCAGAAUCUUCCUCUAUACUUUCCUCAUAUAUAUGGGUGUUCAUGGCAAUAACUUAACUUAGGGGUGUGUGUAUGACACUUAAAGCCCUCUGUAGAAAGGAUGCUAACAUGAAGUAAAUCAAUUCACUACUGAAACAACUAGGAAACUUCCUUCUUUCUGCUCUCUUCAGAUUCAGGUAGGCCAGUUAUCCUGUUGUCAUUUAUUUAGGCUUUCUGCUCAACUGUGAGCUCUAGAAACAAAUUACUGUAAGGGAAAGGUGGAAUACAGACAAAGUCACACCACUGCAGGCAAUCUUAUUCUAGUCCAGAGCUGCUCAAACCAUUAAUUAUAGUGGGGACCCCAGCAAAAUCCAGCAUGGAGACUAAAAAUGAAAGGAGAAACAUGCUGCCUUUGAAGGGGGUUGCCAAGUAGCCCUCUGGUUCAGCAUGAAAGGGAGGGACUUGCUGUGUAGGAGCUUGAUACAGAAAACAUUGCAUAUGCAUGUGUGCAGGUUUUUACCCACACAGGCAGCUGCAGCACCUCAGCGUGUGCAGCAAAGAUGGGAGGCUGACAUUCAGAAGCCUUUUCCUGUGCUCGAAAGAGCAGUGCUGCCUCUGCCCCAACCCCCUCCUGCCCAUCCCUGCUUACUCAGAAACUGCCAUGCUAGGAUGCUACUUCUUAUCUGAGAUCCUCACAGGAUAAUGUCCAUGUAAGUGUUGUUGCUUGUGGUACAGGCCAGUAGUAAUGAUUCAGACCAGCCCUUCAUUUUCUUCCUCUUGUUGGUUAGACACAAAAUCCAGCCCACAAACAAAUUAAUCUGUCCCAUGCACCAAUAAAGAUGAUUCCCUGUUAAUUAACAAAUUGCACACAGAAUUCCCUGGCUUGUAUUAAGGGACUCUUGAAUGGCUGUGAAAUCGAGCACUUCAAAGUUCAGAGAUGGCCUGGAUGUAGGGUUUUGGAGUUUAGGUUUUGCUUUUUUGUGGGUAUAAUUAUGUGUAAUAGUGUAGCUUUUAAUGACGUAAACAUAACGUUUUUUCAUCAGCCUAGUUUUCGCAGAGGAAGCAAAGCAAGCCCAAAUGUGCCUUUCUCCACGUUAGGUGUCCUUGUAUAAGAGGCAUCCUCGAGGUGGAGAUCUCCAGGCCUUUAUAUGUAAUGACAUAGUGCCCCCUGUUGGAAAGCUGUUCCCGACGCUGUCUCCUGCCUGCAUCCAGGUGAGGUAACAUUCACACAAAUACCAUACUGUUGCAUGUGUUCCUGCACAUCGGUGAAGUCUGUAUAUUGUCACACCAGUAGGUUUAAAAAUCAACUUACCUUUUCCUCCCUCAGCUAUUUUUUGUUAGGCUUCAGAAAGCAGUUGCACUGGAUUUCUUAGAAGGCUUUCUGUGACAAUGUUCAAGGAAGAUCUACCAUUUUAUGAUACCUUCAGCUUUUUAAAAAUAACAUAUCUUGUGAUUUUAGCCAUGAAGGAAACAAUAACCUCUUACUCAUCUCAAGGCACACAAGUCCAGCUGGCUUAUGUUAGCAGGGAAAUGUGUGGGGCUGCAGGCUGGCUGAUUACUCUGUGUCUGUAGAUGGUGGAGAUCAGUUUUAGCUCAAAUAAACAGUCCCUAGUAUUUGCGCCCACAGAGGGGGGCUGUAGGAUACAGGAAGUAAAUCCUAUUUCCUGGGAUAUCCUCUCAUUUAAUGCACAUUAUUCCUCCCAUUCCUGACAUAAACAAGAGAAACCCAUCUUCCCAAGGCUUAGCCCGGCCCUUCCUCCUCCCCUAUGCUGCAGAGGAGGGCCAAGGUUGGCCCUUAAUCUCUCACCCUGUCCUGACACCCUCAACAUCCAAUCCUGACCAUAUAUCAAGGAACCCUCACCCUACUCCAAAAAUUGCAGUAAGAUUAAUGCUAUGGUUCUCCAAAACACCUGCACUGUGUUGGCCCAGGAUAACGUAACUUGGCAGAGUCUACCUGGAGAGCACAGUCCUGGUCACAGACACCUUCUGUGGGACAGAACCCUUACUCCAACCCCAUCCUCAUCUGAUUUCUGACUCUUAAUAUCAGUGACCUUGUUAGGCCCUGAAAACACAUGUUAUGUUCUGGCCUGGGGUACAACGAGACCAAAAUUCAGCUAGGCCACUCGUGGUGUCUUUCCUGAAGGACUUAAACUAAACAUGAAUCCUAUAAUGGCCCACAAAUUUAAUAAACACGAAAGUGAGCACAUGUUCCUGAAAUCGCCUCUGCAACGCUGGCCUGUUUUAUAUCAGGACAGGACUGCCCAUGCCCCUCACCCACAUAUCUUAGUCAUGGAAAAUGGAACCUUUCCCAAAUAAUGGGUUGUAAAGACAGAUGUGAGCUUGCAGAGAAAUAUGACCAUCCACACAGUGGUGGGUAAGUAUUGUUUGUCUGGAGCUAUGAUGCUAUUGUUGGAAGGGCAAACUGAAGCGAGAUUGUUUCACAUGAGCAAAGGCACAGUUUUCAUGAAGUAAGCUUUUGUCCUUGACUCGCAAAAAGGGCCUUUUUUGUGAUUCACACUGUGUGAUAUAUUUAGUUUUCUUUGCAUUUAAUUAAGAAUGGGACAAGCAUAAUACUGCAAGUGAAACAUAAAAGCAGAAUGACCCUAUUAAAAAGUGGUUUAUCUACCUUAGAAGAAAGACUUGGUACAUUACAUUGAAAGCUUAGAUUGUAAAUUGGCUGAGACUGGAACCACAUCCUUGUCCUGUGCUCACAGUGCAACUGUCACAGUGACAGUCUCUUCUGUCUCUUCUGAAAUUAUCAUAUUCCCUGGGAUGGGUGAGUUGCAGUCCCCAAAGAAUCUGAGAGAAUAAACAAACAAAGACCAAAAAGUUGUUUAAAGGUUAACUUGUCACAACUGCAAGUCAGUGGAUAUGAGAUCUAGGUGUCAAGGGACAGAAGGUGAGGGAAACAAACUCUAUAAGGUCUUGCAUAGGAUCUGAAGUACUUACAGGCUACAGCUAACAAUGACUAAUGAAGUGCAAAUAAUGAUUCAUACUAAGUCUAGAAUAUGCUGUAUUAUGCUUUCUCAGAGUAGAACAAGGAUAAAAUUACCUUCCUUCUGUUUUGGGCAGGUGUUCCAGAUGCUCAAGUUAACUACCAACCCAACAUCCAGAUAGGUCUCUUAGCACCCCAAGGAUCCCAUUUGCUGGCCGGCUGAUUUCAUUCACCCUGCUCCUUUUUUCAUCUCUUCUCUUUUUCUCUCAGUACUUCAAGGUUCCCCCUUCCCUGGACCUCCUUCUCCCUCAUUAGUGAUCUUCUCAACAUGAUCUCAUUAUGGCAGAGUACUCACAUCCAACCACUGUUAACCCACUGCCCUGAAGCAUUGUCAGAUUGUUCUCUGUAGUGUUUGGAGUUGUGCCUCACAUUCCCUGCAAGACUCCUGACAGUGGCUUGGAUAUCUUUGCCUUUAUCCCAUCUCUGGUGCAGGAGUGAACGCCUGCCCUGCAGGACUCACAGUGAUCAUGCUCCAUUUGGGUGUUGAUUUCUUGCUGAGGUAUGUUCAUUGCUGCCGAGUAGGGGAUGAAUCCUGGCUCCAGCUCUUCCCACAAGGAGCACAGAGAUAAGGCUUCUCUUCAGUGUGAACCAGUUGAUGUCCAGUCAGGUCAGAAUUCCCAUCAAAACCCUCUCCACAGUCACAGCAUCUAAGUGGCUUCUUUCACAUCUGGGAAGGAAUAUAAAAGUCAAAGUGUGUUCAUUUUCUUAUUAAUUCCUUCUUUUCAACUGGGCCAACAUCAUCAUCAGCUGGAACAGAAAGGGAAAAAAGUAAUCAGAUAUGGUUACUCCCCCAAACACCACAUGAAGAACAGCAUUUAUGAGAGUGAAAGCCAGGAACCAGUUCUUCUGGGGUCAAGAGCUUAUGGCCUGGAAUUCAUCUGCCACCAGUUUUCCUAUUACAUUCACCAUUAUAUCUCUGGUUUAUAUAGUACCUCUUACCAGCAGGUGCAUGCCACAGUUAUACAAGUAGAAAAACAACAACAACAACAAAACAAAACCAAACAAACAAAUCGAGAUGGGGAAGAUGGUGGUGGGUGAAGAGCCUUGCACAAAGUAGCCCAUCAGGCCAGUAGAGAUAAGAACUGGACACGCUUCCGGAGUCCUUGACCAGACUGCUUGCCUCUUUCUAGCCUGGUAUGUUCAUCAUAAAACAAUGAUAAAUUUUACUCUCCACUCUAUUUUGCAAAGGUGUGAUGUCCUCAGUAUCUGUAUGUGACUUUGAGCACUCAAAGUUCUCUUUCAGUGCUAAUGAAAUGAGCUACCUCAAAUGCCUCUAGGUAGUUUAUCCAGUUUGUCAAUAUGCUGUCCCUGAAGUUCAGUAGUAUCAGAGUUGACCCUGAGAAAGAAGGCCCAUCUUGUCCUGGUGGGAACUAUGAGUAGGAAUAUGUCUAGGCUGUUUCAGCAUCAGCUUCAGUCUGGAAGAACAUGGUGAAGAGCCCAAGCUAGUGUGCCCUGAUGGAGCCAGAAGUUUUGGGGAAUGACUGCAGAGGAACCUAAAUGGCAUUCCAUAGUCAGGUCAGAUCAAGAAAGCUGUGGCUCAGCAUCGUCACUUCUGACUCUAAGCUGGUCCUGGGGGUGAAGCCUUGCAGGGCAACCUGCACCACGCUCUCCAGAUUUCCCGCCUCCCAGAGGACUUUUUCUCCUCUGUACCCAACAGAUGUGGGCUACCUGUGUUUUCAUGUAGCAUUGUACCUGAGCAAACAAGCUACAUGGGUAUCAGAGCACUGGUGAGACAAGUCACCAGACCACCCAGAUCACUAUGAGCCAGGGCCAGUAAGUUUUACUGAGCCCAUUUAGUCAUUCCAGUGUCACUGCAGUAUAUUUCCCAGCAAAGGAAAUGGUUUGGCAGUGUCAGGGUAGUUUACAUUUCUCUGCAUGGGAUGGACUGAGGAAUAUCUCCUAGUAUUGUCCAGGGACUACCGGCAACCUGCCCAGUCAGCACAUAGCCCUAACCAGCUGUGCCAUUAGCAUUAGCUAGUUGGCUGGCAGAGCUUAUUUGAAUUAUUAGUAUUAGAACCAUUUAGUGGUGAAAGGCUGAACUGAACUCAGCAUCUGAUCAGAUGAUUAACAUUAGACAUCUAUGCAGUAUCUCAAUAAAACCUCCCUAACUCUGUGUCCUUUAGGUAAUGGAGUUAAGAUAUCUUAAUGGACUUAAUAUCCCCUGAUGGACUGGGAAGGUCUGCGUGCUUCAGUAUACUCCAUAUGCUGGGAGUAUUCUGCUCUAUGGUGGGUCCCAAAACAAAUAUAUAAUCUGUUUUUUUUUGGAGUGCCUGAGGUAUCUUAUGGCCCCAUAACCUCAGAUGGUGGCAAUGACUGUAUAAUCUUGCUGUGAGACUGGCUUUGCCCACAAGUAUUUCAACAGGAAUAAAAGUGUCCCGGUGAACAUGGAAGUGGCCAGCACUUCUCUACAGGACACAACCCUGCAGGUUGCUACACAGGAGCAGGAGAUAAGAGAGGAGAAAGGUUGGUAUCAGGAAGGAGGUGCGAUGACAUUAUUUGCAUGACAGAAAUAGUGCUAAAAGAUCUUACUAGCAUUUACUGGCUGAAGAACUGCAAGGCAAUUGUUUUGAGAAGAAAGAUCAAAAUUUGCUAUCCAAUUGAUAUUUUGAAUUUAAAUGCUUGCAUUUGCAGUAGUAGAAUUAGCAUUUGUAAAACUACUGUAGCAGUUUCCUUAGUCCAAAUGCUAAACUUUUUAUUUGUCACUUAGACAUUCAGUGACCCAUAUGUAUGGAUUUUUUUUUCCAAUUUUGGAAAAGGUUAGAUGAACUUCUACUUUCCAAAGGCUGAGAAAUAGCAUGUCAGUCUAUCCUCUACUGAGAAAACAGGGUGGUGUUUGCAUAACGUCUUACAGCUUCUGCUGAAGUGAGUUUCACAACCUCCAUAGGUAAUCUAUUCCAGCACCGCCUUCCUCAGAGAAAGUUUUUGCAAUACCUAGCCUAGCCUUUUUGUUUUUUUCCUUUCUUCUUUUCUUUCCUGAAAAUUAAGCCAAUGAGAUCUUAUCUUUGUCCUUCCAGCAAUGUAAUUGUUACCUUUCUUAAUAACAACCUCUUGUGCACUGCAAUGCAUUAUCACGUUCUGCCCUAUUUUCAGCCUUCUCCUCCAGACUCAACAAACCCAGUGUCCCUGCUUCUCUCCAGGGACUAUUUUCCAAACCUCUUAUCACUUCUGAUGUGCACCCAUACCCGUGUUCCUUGCAUGGACCAGCCAGGCUCCUUGCUGUCCCUCUGUGGAGUUUUGGUGGUGGCUUCUCACUUCCCUCCAGCCACAUACUGCCACCCUGCGACCCCCAGCCCAGGCACCCUCAGCCCGGGCACCCCCAGCCCUGGUGGCUCACUCGCAGCGGGACUUGGGUGGGACACUUGCCGGAGCCAAGUGAGGUGCCGUGUGGGCGCAGCGGCCCUGCUGGGACAGGUGCUGAGAGCGGGGUGACAGGCCCCCGGGCCCUGCUGGGUGCAGGAAACAGCAUGCAUGGUUCACUCCUCUUAUCUCCCAGCCCUGACAGGAAACCGGUGUCCUUGCUUUCUGGGGUUUGUCCUGAAUUCCCAGGUUCAGGCAAAUCGCCAGCUUUCUCCUCAGAUGCUCUCAGAUCUUUGAGUCACAGAAUGGUUUGAGUUGGAAGGGACCUUCAAAGAUUAUCUAGUCCAACCUCCCUGCCAUGGACAAGGACAUCUUUCACUAGAUCAGGUUGCUCAGAGCCCCGUCCAGCCUGGCCUUAAAUGUCUCCAGGGAUGGGGCACCUACCACCUCUCUAGGCAACAUGUGCCAGUGCCUCACCACCCUCAUCGUAAAAAAUGUCUUCCUUAUGUCAAAUCUAAAUCUACCCUCCUUCAGUUUAAAGCCAUUGUCCCUUGCCCUUUCACUACAGGCCUCCAUAAAAAGACUCUCUGUCUUAUCAGCCCCUUUAAGUAUUGCAAGGCCACAACAAGGUCUCCCUGGAGCUUCUCUUCUCCAGGCUGAACCACCCCAACUUCCUCAGACAUUCUUCAUAGAAGAAGUUAAAUGAUUUCUGAUUAAUUUCUGGUAAUCUGCUUUGGAAAUUCUCUUAGGAGGCAGAGGUGCCCACUCUCUAAGGGAUGCAAGCAUUUCAGAAACUUCUAGAGAAAAAGGCCUACCAAAAACUGGGGGUAAAAGUCCUCUCCAUUUUAGGAGUGCUGGCUUCCAGGCUCAGUUCAGUUUAUCAAGCCAAAUAUUUGACUCUUGUCAGCCCUUGCAUCAGCUGCUUCAGUGAAUGGUGAUGGAAAUCCUGAUUGUGUGCAGUGUUACAGAACCAAAUCUUUGCACGCUAAAUCAAGAUCCUGAAAAGUGUAUAGUCCUGAAAAGUCAUUAUUACCAAUAUUGCCAUUAAUACUUUAUUACAAAAAUUGUACAUUCUGCUGUUGGUUGUUUCAGCCUGAAGAAAAGAAGCUUAUUAGUACUUUAUCUUCCCAGCAGCCCUCUUCCCCCAAAUCAUCUUUAUGUCCCUCCCACAUUCCCGACAGAUUCAGUGUCCCUAAACUAAACAUUUUGAUCUGCUGCCUGGACAAGAUAUUACAUAAACUGGCAAACCAAAUGGAUAAGGGCCAGUCUUUCCCUGCUGAUCCUUCCAUGGGAAUGCCAGUAAGAGAUCUUUGUUGUACCCAACUGCUGCUCUCUGGCUAUAGGAGCAUGCUCAUCUCUGAUUCCUCUACAUGGUUGUUAAAUUUGAAGUGAACUGGUUAGUUUCUCAGUGACUAAAGGGGGACUGACAAUGUGAUAUUUAAAAAGUCUUAUUUCCUCAAGAAACUACAGGAAAAAAAACACAUGAAUCUAUCAAAAUAUCUAUCAUUAAAUAGAUUCCCAAAUCUGAAAAUAUGUAUUUUAAUAAAGAUCAAAUAGAAUUUUUGAACUGCCUUCUGAUUUUGAAACUUCUGUCUCAUUCUAAAUAUAUUGAAGUGGAAAGAAAAUGUAGGAUGAAUGUCAUCUUAGUCAAGACAAAAGCAGAGAAGAAACAGAACAGACUGACCCUGUACUCACAAGGAAGAGGCGGAGGAAAUGAGCCUUGACUCCCCAUCCCUUCCUUUGUGCUGCCUGUUGGAGCACACCACUGCAGAAGGAGGGAACAGGAGAGAGCAUCCCAGCAACAAAAGGCUCAGGGAAGAAGACAACGAAAACCAAAAUCCACCCAUGUUUCAUGUUUCACCCAACCUGCAAGUGUGUCCUAGGUGGAGGAAGGGAGCAUGAAGAGGGGUUGAAGCAGUCAGGGUUACCUUGAGCCUCAGGGUAUGAAGACAAAAAUACCACUGUUUCGCAGAGCAGAGAG
Columba livia (rock pigeon) is the source of this 14291-nucleotide long non-coding RNA. RefSeq lists it as uncharacterized. The record is from RefSeq and is a predicted model, not a curated record. The transcript is spliced from 3 exons. Lineage: Eukaryota; Metazoa; Chordata; Aves; Columbiformes; Columbidae.